Molecule: ribosomal RNA, 353 nt
Filed under: uncultured archaeon
Lineage: Archaea
Description: bacterial SSU rRNA
Rfam family: Archaeal small subunit ribosomal RNA
Source: RNAcentral
AAGGGGUGGGCAAGUUCUGGUGUCAGCCGCCGCGGUAAAACCAGCACCUCGAGUGGUCAGGAGGUUUAUUGGGCCUAAAGCAUCCGUAGCCGNNNNNNUAAGUUUUCGGUUAAAUCUAUGCGCUUAACGUAUAGGCCGCCGAAAAUACUGUGCAGCUAGGGAGUGGGAGAGGUACACGGUACUCGAUAGGAAGGGGUAAAAUCCUUUGAUCUAUUGAUGACCACCUGUGGCGAAGGCGGUGUACCAGAACACGUUCGACGGUGAGGGAUGAAAGCUGGGGGAGCAAACCGGAUUAGAUACCCGGGUAGUCCCAGCUGUAAACGAUGCAGACUCGGUGAUGCAUUGGCUUGUGG